This 449-nucleotide ribosomal RNA is filed under the name uncultured bacterium. RNAcentral's name for it is "partial 16S ribosomal RNA". It matches the Rfam family "Bacterial small subunit ribosomal RNA", at positions 29 to 523 of the family's 1533-position model. The record is from RNAcentral.
AACGAACGCUGGCGGCAGGCUUAACACAUGCAAGUCGAACGCAUCCUUCGGGGUGAGUGGCAGACGGGUGAGUAGCGCGUGGGAACGUGCCCUUCAGUUCGGGAUAAUCCAGGGAAACUUGGGCUAAUACCGGAUACGUGCGAGAGCAGAAAGAUUUAUCGCUGAAGGAUCGGCCCGCGUCUGAUUAGCUAGUUGGUGGGGUAAUGGCCCACCAAGGCGACGAUCAGUAGCUGGUCUGAGAGUGUGAUCAGCCACAUUGGGACUGAGACACGGCCCAAACUCCUACGGGAGGCAGCAGUGGGGAAUAUUGGACAAUGGGCGCAAGCCUGAUCCAGCCAUGCCGCGUGAGUGAUGAAGGCCUUAGGGUUGUAAAGCUCUUUCGUCCGGGACGAUAAUGACGGUACCGGAAGAAGAAGCCCCGGCUAACUUCGUGCCAGCCGCCGCCGUAA